This 253-nucleotide ribosomal RNA is filed under the name uncultured bacterium. Its description in RNAcentral is "partial 16S ribosomal RNA". It matches the Rfam family "Bacterial small subunit ribosomal RNA", at positions 524 to 776 of the family's 1533-position model. The record is from RNAcentral.
UACAGAGGGGGCAAGCGUUGUUCGGAAUUACUGGGCGUAAAGAGCGUGUAGGCGGCCAGGUAGGUCCGUUGUGAAAACUCGAGGCUCAACCUCGAGACGUCGAUGGAAACCAUCUGGCUAGAGUCCGGAAGAGGAGAGUGGAAUUCCUGGUGUAGCGGUGAAAUGCGCAGAUAUCAGGAAGAACACCUAUGGCGAAGGCAGGUCUCUGGGCCGAUAUUGACGCUGAGGAGCGAAAGCGUGGGGAGCGAACAGG